RNAcentral lists this ribosomal RNA (468 nucleotides) under uncultured bacterium. RNAcentral's name for it is "partial 16S ribosomal RNA". It matches the Rfam family "Bacterial small subunit ribosomal RNA", at positions 28 to 507 of the family's 1533-position model. The record is from RNAcentral.
GACGAACGCUGGCGGCGUGCUUAACACAUGCAAGUCGAACGGAAAGGCCCUGCUUUUGUGGGGUGCUCGAGUGGCGAACGGGUGAGUAACACGUGAGUAACCUGCCCUUGACUUUGGGAUAACUUCAGGAAACUGGGGCUAAUACCGGAUAGGAGCUCCUGCUGCAUGGUGGGGGUUGGAAAGUUUCGGCGGUUGGGGAUGGACUCGCGGCUUAUCAGCUUGUUGGUGGGGUAGUGGCUUACCAAGGCUUUGACGGGUAGCCGGCCUGAGAGGGUGACCGGCCACAUUGGGACUGAGAUGCGGCCCAGACUCCUACGGGAGGCAGCGGUGGGGAAUAUUGCACAAUGGGCGGAAGCCUGAUGCAGCAACGCCGCGUGCGGGAUGACGGCCUUCGGGUUGUAAACCGCUUUCGCCUGUGACGAAGCGUGAGUGACGGUAAUGGGUAAAGAAGCACCGGCUAACUACGUG